UACGUAGGGGGCUAGCGUUGUCCGGAAUCAUUGGGCGUAAAGCGCGUGUAGGCGGCCCGGUAAGUCCGCUGUGAAAGUCGGGGGCUCAACCCUCGGAUGCCGGUGGAUACUGUCGGGCUAGAGUGCGGAAGAGGCGAGUGGAAUUCCUGGUGUAGCGGUGAAAUGCGCAGAUAUCAGGAGGAACACCCGUGGCGAAAGCGGCUCUCUGGGACGGUACUGACGCUGAGACGCGAAAGCGUGGGGAGCAAACAGG
Molecule: ribosomal RNA, 253 nt
Filed under: uncultured bacterium
Lineage: Bacteria
Description: partial 16S ribosomal RNA
Rfam family: Bacterial small subunit ribosomal RNA
Source: RNAcentral